Molecule: long non-coding RNA, 716 nt
Filed under: Nicotiana benthamiana
Lineage: Eukaryota; Viridiplantae; Streptophyta; Magnoliopsida; Solanales; Solanaceae
Description: long non-coding RNA (NBEN_LNC025839)
Source: RNAcentral
GAGAGGGAGGCAGUUAACCAAGAAAUCACCAUGUUAUUGCACCUAUCCCAUAACCUUUGUUGAGCCACAUUAGUGGCUGGUCGGGAGCACGUCCCAUCAACAAAACCAAUCUUAUUUUUAGCAGAUAAUGCAACAAAUAUUUUUCUCCUCCAACCCCCAUAACCACUUCGCGAGAAGGGAGUAGGAACAAGAGAGACCCCAGGCACAUCAGAGGGGUAUACAAAUAGAGGACUGGUAGAGUCUACCGAGGAGGAGGUACCAGUAUUCGUAUUAGAAGUCAUGAUUAAUGCACCAGUUUGAAAAGAAAAACAGUUUCGACAAGCAAAAUAUCACGAAACCAGAUAUUCACACACGAAGCCAAAUAAUCACACACAAAGUAUACAAUACAGAGAAAACCCUAGGUACAAAACCCUAGGUGUAACCGUUGCAAACCUUACUGGAAAUAUAGCCAGGGAUGUCGGAAAGUCACCCUAAACAUCCACUGAGUGAGAAUCGAGCCACCGGAUAGCAGUAAAACUCUAGGUUAAACCACCAGAAACCCUAGAAGCCGAUAUGUCACCCAAAAAUCACCCAAAAUCAUCAGAAAAUCUCCUAGAACGUUCGAGUGAAGAAAAUACACUCAGAUAUCACGAUGAAAAACUCAGAAAGGCGUACGAUUUAUACCGGAAUCAUCAUCGACCAUAAGGUCGCAGAAACACCCCCAAAAAUCUCGAAAC